ACGAAGGGGGCGAGCGUUGUUCGGAAUUACUGGGCUUAAAGCGUGCGUAGGCGGAUCAGCAAGUUGGGAGUGAAAUCCCAGGGCUUAACCCUGGAAUUGCUUUCAAAACUGCUAGUCUAGAAUCCGGUAGAGGUUAAUGGAAUACCCAGUGUAGAGGUGAAAUUCGCAGAUAUUGGGUGGAACACCAGUGGCGAAGGCGAUUAACUGGGCCGGUAUUGACGCUGAGGUACGAAAGCGUGGGUAGCAAACAGGA
RNAcentral lists this ribosomal RNA (253 nucleotides) under uncultured prokaryote. Its description in RNAcentral is "partial 16S ribosomal RNA". It matches the Rfam family "Bacterial small subunit ribosomal RNA", at positions 525 to 777 of the family's 1533-position model. The record is from RNAcentral.